This 27-nucleotide non-coding RNA is filed under the name Rattus norvegicus (Norway rat). Lineage: Eukaryota; Metazoa; Chordata; Mammalia; Rodentia; Muridae. The record is from RNAcentral.
UCAAUUACUUGUAGAUGAUGUUGGGGU